GGGCCCGCACAAGCAGCGGAGCAUGUGGUUUAAUUCGAAGCAACGCGAAGAACCUUACCAAGACUUGACAUCCCGUGCAAUCUGUUGAAAGGCAGAGUCCCUUCGGGGCGCGGAGACAGGUGGUGCAUGGUUGUCGUCAGCUCGUGUCGUGAGAUGUUGGGUUAAGUCCCGCAACGAGCGCAACCCUUACACUCAGUUACCAGCGGGUAAAGCCGGGGACUCUGGGAGGACUGCCGAGGACAACUCGGAGGAAGGUGGGGACGACGUCAAAUCAUCAUGCCCCUUACGUCUUGGGCUACACACGUGCUACAAUGGCCGCAACAGAGGGCAGCGAAACCGCGAGGUGGAGCGAAUCCCAGAAAGCGGUCCCAGUUCGGAUUGUGGGCUGCAACCCGCCCACAUGAAGUCGGAGUUGCUAGUAAUCGCGGAUCAGCAUGCCG
Molecule: ribosomal RNA, 440 nt
Filed under: uncultured Bacillota bacterium
Lineage: Bacteria; Bacillati; Bacillota
Description: bacterial SSU rRNA
Rfam family: Bacterial small subunit ribosomal RNA
Source: RNAcentral